RNAcentral lists this ribosomal RNA (416 nucleotides) under Salmonella enterica. RNAcentral's name for it is "partial 23S ribosomal RNA". It matches the Rfam family "Bacterial large subunit ribosomal RNA", at positions 137 to 591 of the family's 2925-position model. RNAcentral also lists the same sequence under 3 other names. Lineage: Bacteria; Pseudomonadati; Pseudomonadota; Gammaproteobacteria; Enterobacterales; Enterobacteriaceae. The record is from RNAcentral.
GAUUCGUCACACUAUCAUUAACUGAAUCCAUAGGUUAAUGAGGCGAACCGGGGGAACUGAAACAUCUAAGUACCCCGAGGAAAAGAAAUCAACCGAGAUUCCCCCAGUAGCGGCGAGCGAACGGGGAGGAGCCCAGAGCCUGAAUCAGCAUGUGUGUUAGUGGAAGCGUCUGGAAAGGCGCGCGAUACAGGGUGACAGCCCCGUACACAAAAGCGCAUGUGCUGUGAGCUCGAUGAGUAGGGCGGGACACGUGGUAUCCUGUCUGAAUAUGGGGGGACCAUCCUCCAAGGCUAAAUACUCCUGACUGACCGAUAGUGAACCAGUACCGUGAGGGAAAGGCGAAAAGAACCCCGGCGAGGGGAGUGAAAAAGAACCUGAAACCGUGUACGUACAAGCAGUGGGAGCACCCUUCGGGG